This 817-nucleotide long non-coding RNA is filed under the name Homo sapiens (human). RNAcentral's name for it is "non-protein coding lnc-ZBTB8OS-3:3". Lineage: Eukaryota; Metazoa; Chordata; Mammalia; Primates; Hominidae. The record is from RNAcentral.
GAGUGUCUAAUCCUGCAGUCAUGGCGCAGGAAGAGGAAGAUGUUAGAGAUUACAAUUUGACUGAAGAACAGAAGGCGAUCAAGGCCAAGUAUCCGCCAGUCAAUAGGAAGUACGAGUAUUUGGAUCAUACAGCAGAUGUCCAGUGGGGAGAAGAAUUUUCAUUGUCCAAGCACCCUCAGGGAACAGAAGUCAAAGCAAUAACAUAUUCAGCAAUGCAGGUCUAUAAUGAAGAGAACCCGGAAGUUUUUGUGAUCAUUGACAUUUAAGACACCAAAAAAUAAAAGACUCCUACGAAGAACUGUUUUUGUUUUCCUCUUCCUUUUGAGAAGACACUAUGAAUUAAAUUCUACAGCUUUUUUUUGAUAUAUGGAAAUUUGUAGAACAGAAAUAUUUUAGUUAAAGUGUGACUUUCAGAAAGGGAAAAUCAGGGCACAGCCUUGGUCUGUGUUCCCCAAAUAUUCACACUUUAAAGAAUUCUUCAACCCCCCAAGGGACAGUUAUGGUCCUUUGAUUCUCUGCUGUGGCAGUAGGUGUGCCUCAUGCCCUUCCAGUGCAAUGCAAGCCCUCCAGCCUCACCCCAGAGAGGAUCACUGAUGUCAGCAGCAGCCUGAGGCUGAAUCCAGGUUGAAAGAAGAAUAACUUGAAAAAAUAUAUUUCCACACACAGAAUUUUGUUUUUCUUCCAAGUUGGUUAAGACAUAUAUUUUGUUUCUUUUUUUUUUUUUUUUUUGAGACGGAGUCUCGCUCUGUAGCCCAGGCUGAAGCGCAGUGGUGUGAGCUCGGCUUACUGCAAGCUCCACCUCCCGGGUUCACGCCAU